UCAGUUGGUAGAGCGCUGGACUGUUAAUCCAGAGCGCCCUGGUUCGAUGCCAGGUUGAGGAGCCA
Molecule: non-coding RNA, 65 nt
Organism: Ostertagia ostertagi
Lineage: Eukaryota; Metazoa; Nematoda; Chromadorea; Rhabditida; Trichostrongylidae
Source: the annotation of a GenBank genome assembly